Molecule: long non-coding RNA, 642 nt
Organism: Drosophila willistoni
Lineage: Eukaryota; Metazoa; Arthropoda; Insecta; Diptera; Drosophilidae
Exons: 3
Source: RefSeq, a predicted model, not a curated record
UUUAACGUAAUUUUUACGACAUUAAAUUUCAUAUUUUUGUUGAACCAAUUGUCGAACCACAUAGCGGAUGUCCACUGUAUUCAGGCUGCCCAACUCGAACAGCGAACAUGCAACAAAAGAGUUCCAAUUCAUGCAAAAGAGUCCACGUGCAGCGAACAAGUUUUCUCUAAUUUAUGUAGGUUUUAAAUUUCGAAUUACCUGACCUUAAAAUUGCUAUGGUUUUUAGCCGUUGCCCUAAAAGUGAUCUAAGAAAAAUAAUACGCCUUCGAUGUCAAAACAAAUACAUUCCCAUAGAACAUCAUGAACAUCUUCAGUUGUCUUUUGUGGGUGUGUUUCGAUGUGUGUGGCAUGAAAUAAAUGGUAAUGAAGUGUGUGAAAAUAAUGCGAAAUUCAUUGGGCAAGGGCAACGGCACUACACAGCAGCAGCAGCAUCAGUGGCAGCAUCAGUGGCAGCAUCAGUGGCAGCUGUUGGAAUUCUCAACAUGACAUGCAAAAGGCGUCACAAUGAACUCCUUAACCGAAAUCAAAAGAAAGACUCAAUUUUACUUGAAGACUUAACGAAAUCAUUAUAAAAAACCAAAAACGAAAACCAUGUGGGGGUGAAUUUUUUGAUUGGCUUCACACUUACAUGUACUUACACAC